Molecule: ribosomal RNA, 253 nt
Filed under: uncultured bacterium
Lineage: Bacteria
Description: partial 16S ribosomal RNA
Rfam family: Bacterial small subunit ribosomal RNA
Source: RNAcentral
UACGUAGGGUGCAAGCGUUGUCCGGAAUUAUUGGGCGUAAAGAGCUCGCAGGCGGUCUGUCGCGUCGGCUGUGAAAACCCGGGGCUCAGCCCCGGGCCUGCAGUCGAUACGGGCAGACUAGAGUUCGGUAGGGGAGUCUGGAAUUCCUGGUGUAGCGAUGAAAUGCGCAGAUAUCAGGAGGAACACCGGUGGCGAAGGCGGGACUCUGGGCCGAUACUGACGCUGAGGAGCGAAAGCGUGGGGAGCAAACAGG